AAGUUACCUACAAUUUAUUUAUCUCUACACACACAUAAUAUGUUGCACAGUCAGUUUGCAUUUUUUCGAAGCAAUGCAAUGGCAAUAAAGCUAAAUACGCCAGCAUUAUCAACAUUGCCAAAUUGCUUGCGCGCUUUCCGGCUGUGGUGUGGUACGUACAUAUGCCAAAUGUGUCUGCAUCAGAUUUCUUGGCAUAUUGCGCCGGAAUUCGGCGCAAAAACAUUGAUCGCGAUAGAAAUUUAUACUAAACUAACGAUUGUUGUAACCAACCUAUUCGCAAACGAAACCCGACGUGUUAAAAUAUCGAAACACGUAGUAUUAAAUAAUAAAAAAAAAAACUCCGUCGACCUUGGCCCGCGUUGCGUCGUCGUUAUGUGUUGGUAGCUUGUGCACACUACUCGUGCGCGAAUUGACGAAAAGUACACACAACAAACAGCAAAAUACCGCACAAGUUGAAUAAAAAUCAAAAUUUUCUAUGUGUAUGUGGUGGCGUGAGUACAAUAAUUAGGAAAUAAUGAAAAUCACCUUGAUCGAAAACUUAAUUUUCCAAUUCGCUGUGCUGUAUCUACGCCGCAUUAGUCUUCAACGAAAUUCAUCUCGGGUCUUGUCAUCCGGGCUGCAUUUGUUGUUGCCUCGCAGCUGCGACGAAUGCACUUAAUCGUCCUGACUGCAGCAGGAUUUCCAUAUUGUACCCGCAACACAAUCAAACAACGUUAGCCGCGCUGCGCUGCGACGCACACCGUCAGACAGGUAGGCGGCGACUGACUGAGUUCGAAUUCGUCAACAUUGUUGAAAAAUAUUGCAAAAAUAUGCCCUGACUGUCGAAGUCAAUUCAGAAUGUUAGUCUACCAGCUCCAAUGUUGUUGGGUUGGUUGGUUAGCUGACAUUGGCGUAGUCGGCACGUAAAUAAAUAAUAUUUUGAUGUGAGCGCGCCUGCUGUCUUCGUUCGCUGGCACUGGUGCUGGUUGGUCGGUCGGUGCAGACGUGGCGGCGGUACUGGCGGUGUGUUACGCAAUGUCCAGGAGGCCCCGGUAAGGCGGCCGCGAAGCAGGAAUCGCAGGACGCGCAGGCGCCCGGCCCAACCUUGGCAUUGAACUUGGAUGCGUCGCACACGUACGCCGCGGCAGCAGUAGGCGCACACAGCACACAACUUUGAAGCUGAUUUAGCGCGCACUGCUAGCUGGCGCGAUGCUGCUAUUCCCCUGCUCCUGCCUUCGACAUUGAUGUCCGGCCGCGGCUGGCUUUCGCUACGUCCGUGAAUGCAACAUUGCAGUCAUCAUCAUCAUCAUUGCACCACGACCGGCACAAAUACCUGCACUUUUGCAGCAUGCACUCCUCUGCUGCUAGAUGUACUCGCUCUAAAAUGUGCAUUCCGGCGCGUUUUCUCGUUCAUCGGCGCCGGCAGGUUUCCAUUCGCGAGUCGGCGCGCCGCGUUGGCUCGUCACGUCACUGACCUAGAUUACAGUAACGACGUUAGGCCCUUUCUCGACUGCGCGCCGCUGUCCGCCAGCCUGCCCGCUUGCAGCGUUGCUCCAGCGUGGUGCUCGACUUUUAUCGAAAUGCGUCGCGACUGCUAAAUGGACAUGCUGCCGACAGAAAAAAGGAACGACCUAUCGGAAAAUCCCAUCGACAACCAUCCACGGUUCAUACGAAAUUAUUUGGCGCAGUACCGGAUACUACUUACGGCAUCACAGACAUUUCAAUAAAAUUAUUAAAUUAGUGAAUAGACCUCAUCACAGCGUUGACGCACUACAAGCAAUAAUGGCAGAGCAUCACCCAGUGGCGAUGUGACCUAAAUAUGUAUUUAUUCACCUUUAACCUUUGUCAGUGCGCGCCUAUAAUGCCAAACUCACCCUGUCAACGACAAUGUAUUUAGGUACUCCAAAAAACACAACACGCUUUAAAUCCGAGAAUAUUAGAUUUUCUAUAAAUGUAUUUUAAAACGAAAUUCAAAAAAUAUGCGAACUGAAUAAAGUUAUUCGGCUA
Molecule: long non-coding RNA, 1986 nt
Organism: Dalotia coriaria
Lineage: Eukaryota; Metazoa; Arthropoda; Insecta; Coleoptera; Staphylinidae
Exons: 3
Source: RefSeq, a predicted model, not a curated record